This 1247-nucleotide ribosomal RNA is filed under the name Salmonella enterica subsp. enterica serovar Kentucky. Its description in RNAcentral is "partial 23S ribosomal RNA". It matches the Rfam family "Bacterial large subunit ribosomal RNA", at positions 566 to 1772 of the family's 2925-position model. The record is from RNAcentral. Lineage: Bacteria; Pseudomonadati; Pseudomonadota; Gammaproteobacteria; Enterobacterales; Enterobacteriaceae.
AGCAGCAUCGCGGUGGCGGAGCGUCGUUUGCGACGCCCAACACACAAAACAAGCGGUGAGUGCUUUGGGGUGGGGUGACUGCGUACCUUUUGUAUAAUGGGUCAGCGACUUAUAUUCUGUAGCAAGGUUAACCGUAUAGGGGAGCCGAAGGGAAACCGAGUCUUAACUGGGCGUUAAGUUGCAGGGUAUAGACCCGAAACCCGGUGAUCUAGCCAUGGGCAGGUUGAAGGUUGGGUAACACUAACUGGAGGACCGAACCGACUAAUGUUGAAAAAUUAGCGGAUGACUUGUGGCUGGGGGUGAAAGGCCAAUCAAACCGGGAGAUAGCUGGUUCUCCCCGAAAGCUAUUUAGGUAGCGCCUCGUGAACUCAUCUUCGGGGGUAGAGCACUGUUUCGGCUAGGGGGUCAUCCCGACUUACCAACCCGAUGCAAACUGCGAAUACCGAAGAAUGUUAUCACGGGAGACACACGGCGGGUGCUAACGUCCGUCGUGAAGAGGGAAACAACCCAGACCGCCAGCUAAGGUCCCAAAGUCACAGUUAAGUGGGAAACGAUGUGGGAAGGCUCAGACAGCCAGGAUGUUGGCUUAGAAGCAGCCAUCAUUUAAAGAAAGCGUAAUAGCUCACUGGUCGAGUCGGCCUGCGCGGAAGAUGUAACGGGGCUAAACUGUGCACCGAAGCUGCGGCAGCGACGCUUAUGCGUUGUUGGGUAGGGGAGCGUUCUGUAAGCCUGCGAAGGUGUCCUGUGAGGGAUGCUGGAGGUAUCAGAAGUGCGAAUGCUGACAUAAGUAACGAUAAUGCGGGUGAAAAGCCCGCUCGCCGGAAGACCAAGGGUUCCUGUCCAACGUUAAUCGGGGCAGGGUGAGUCGACCCCUAAGGCGAGGCCGAAAGGCGUAGUCGAUGGGAAACGGGUUAAUAUUCCCGUACUUGGUGUUACUGCGAAGGGGGGACGGAGAAGGCUAUGUUGGCCGGGCGACGGUUGUCCCGGUUUAAGCGUGUAGGCUGGUUUUCCAGGCAAAUCCGGAAAAUCAAGGCUGAGGCGUGAUGACGAGGCACUACGGUGCUGAAGCAACAAAUGCCCUGCUUCCAGGAAAAGCCUCUAAGCAUCAGGUAACAUCAAAUCGUACCCCAAACCGACACAGGUGGUCAGGUAGAGAAUACCAAGGCGCUUGAGAGAACUCGGGUGAAGGAACUAGGCAAAAUGGUGCCGUAACUUCGGGAGAAGGCACGCUGACACGUAGGUGAAGU